This 351-nucleotide long non-coding RNA is filed under the name Rattus norvegicus (Norway rat). RNAcentral's name for it is "long non-coding RNA NONRATT032437". The record is from RNAcentral. Lineage: Eukaryota; Metazoa; Chordata; Mammalia; Rodentia; Muridae.
AUCCCUUUCUUGAAGGAGUUUCAUUUUCUUGGCUUAUUCAGGAGUCAGCCUCGGCUUAUAUGGAUUCCUUGCUAAGCCAAAAGCACCCGGCACUUCUGCAGAGGAGCUCUGGGGUUUUGUUGUGUCAGGCACUGCUGACAGCUGACAAACUACAGUGUGAGGGGGAUUCUUAGCCUUAUGAGCCCACCAGAAAAAGAUGGCAUCCUUCUCAACAAUACUCACACCUUGAAUGUAAUAUCUAUACCACUCUACCCAAGGGAGCCUGGACUGGUGAUUUGGGCACAGUCCGGGGUUCAUCAGUUACCCUUUACAGUUGGUUCUGUUCUGUGUUGCCUACGAAAGAAAUCCUUG